This 406-nucleotide ribosomal RNA is filed under the name uncultured bacterium. RNAcentral describes it as "partial 16S ribosomal RNA". It matches the Rfam family "Bacterial small subunit ribosomal RNA", at positions 30 to 526 of the family's 1533-position model. The record is from RNAcentral.
AUUGAACGCUGGCGGCAGGCUUAACACAUGCAAGUCGAGCGAGCGGCGGACGGGUGAGUAAUGUCUGGGAAACUGCCUGAUGGAGGGGGAUAACUACUGGAAACGGUAGCUAAUACCGCAUCCCAUCAGAUGUGCCCAGAUGGGCUUAGCUAGUAGGUGGGGUAAUGGCUCACCUAGGCUGCGGUCCCUAGCUGGUCUGAGAGGAUGAACAGCAACACGUGAACUGAGACACGGUCCAGAAUCCUACGGGAGGCAGCAGUGGGGAAUAUUGCACAAUGGGCGCAAGCCAGAAGCAGCCAUGCCGCGUGUGUGAAGAAGGCCUUCGGGUUGUAAAGCACUUUCAGCGAGGAGGCGUUACUCGCAGAAGAAGCACCGGCUAACUCCGUGCCAGCAGCCGCGGUAAUAC